This 5828-nucleotide long non-coding RNA is filed under the name Triticum aestivum (bread wheat). RNAcentral describes it as "long non-coding RNA (TAES_LNC021802)". The record is from RNAcentral. Lineage: Eukaryota; Viridiplantae; Streptophyta; Magnoliopsida; Poales; Poaceae.
GUCGGACAAGUAUUUAGGGAGCAAAUUUGAAGGACAUGAUUGGAUAACAUCGGACCGGCCGGAUGUCCGCCGGCAAUUGGCGGCGUCCGUUUGGUGAUCGCUGGGGAAAAUGAGCGUACUUGGUUGAUUCAGAUAUAGGAACUUCUCAUUACAAAAAAUCACACCGAUAUUACAAAGCUUGUAAAAAAACUGACCCAUCACCCGUACAUUUGCCUGACACACAUACUUAUCCCUCACAACUGUUAUUCUGAAUGAUAGAAGAUCAAGCUAACCCGUGACAUAAAUAGCAACGUCGCUCACUCACUGACAGCAACAAGCCAUGAAAUUUCACUGUUGUGUCGGACGGUGGCAGAUCGGAGUCAGUGGUGUCCGUGGUAUCCACCGCCACCACCACCGCCGUAGGUGGGCGUGGGAGGGACCGGGUGGUAGUCCGGGUGGGGAUGCGGCUUGGGCUCGGGCUUGGGCACAGGGUGGUAGUCAGGGUGGCGCUGGGGCUUGGGCUCCGGCUUGGGCGGCACGGGCUUCUUGUGAUGGAAGUGCUCGAUGAUGUGCUUCUUGAUCGGCCCGCACAGGGUCGUGGACGCGCACUCUGGUGAUGCCAGCGCGUUCGUCUUGGCACCGGCGAUGACACCGAAGGUGGUGCCCUCGGACACCGGCACGAUCUUGGAUGGCUCCUGGCCGGAGCACGGCGCGUUGGAGGCGGCGUUGUGGAGCUGCGCGACGCAGUCGGCGCCGUGGAGGUCGGCGGCCAGGGGCACGCUGAAGGCGCCGCUGCCGUCAAGGGCACCUACCGCCUUGCUCUCGUACUCGCCGUCGACGUUCUUGCACUUGAUCGCCACAUGGAGACCUGAGAUACGUUAACAGGAGGAGGAUAACCAUGAGCCGAUCUCCAUCUAUAUAGCAGAAAAAGCUUGUCCUUCAAAUAAAUAUAUCUAGCACCAAGUUAGUGCUAGAUACAUCCAUUUGAGAAAGUUUGGGACCAAGUUUUUUCGGACAGAGGCAGUACACGAUUGAGCUGCAUAUGUAGCUUACCCUUGAAGGCUUUCUCGGUCUUGAUGUUCUUCCUGGUGCAAUCAGCGCAGGCCAGUCCGACGACGACGGACGCCGCCUCGGCGUUGGCAACAGCAACCGCCAGCAUGACGGCGAGGACGAGUGCUCUCGGAGCUGCCAUGUCUGAACCUCUACCACUUGCUUGCCUGUGUUGGAAGGAUGAAUGGAACAGGCGACGCAUGGCUUAUAUAGGCCUCCGCAUUGAUCGGCACAGCUCGAUGGCGAUCUGGCUGCAUGCUCGAAGCUCGAAGGGUGGUGGGCGGCGAAGUGAUGCGUGACAACGAGAGGCUGGCUAACUCACCGAAAUUCUAGAUGGCGAGUUAAUAUAUACGGCGCCCGCUGCAUGAUCGGAUCGGUCGGUGCGUGUGCCUCCACGUCGCGGUUGGUGAUCGACUUAUUUUGGUGGUGGAGUAGCGUAGGUUGGCACCGGCUAAAAAUGCUAAACAUACAAAUAAGUAUACAAGUUUACAAACUCUUUCUAUCUACUAACCAAUCACAAACUUGCUCACCCCUCCCUCCCAACCCUUGAUUUUCAGGGGAUGGGCCGCCUCCCCACUUAGUGACCAAUCAAGUUAACCCUCUUUGUAAAACCUUGUAACUCAUUUGUACGUGUAGCAUUACUGGGCACCGGCCGCCUGUACAUGCAUUUGCUUGCGUGCGUGCAUGCAGCGUAAGUUCUCGUAGUAGUAUUCCCUCUGUUUUUUUAUAGUCUGCAUAUAAGAUCUGGCCAAAGUCAAACUUUGUAAAGUUUGACCAAAUUUAUUUGAAAAAAUAUCAACAUCUACAAUAUUAAAGCUAUAUGAUAUGAAAAUUAAUUUCAUGAUGCAUCUAACAAUAUUGAUUUCAUAUUGUGAGCCAUGGUAUAUUUUUCUAUAAACUUAGUUAAAGUUGAUAAAGUUUGACUUUGAUCAAAUCUUAUAUACAGACUAAAAGAAAACGAAGGGAGUGGUACCAAAAAUGCUACACCUACGUAAUGUUUGCUGGUGGUAAGCUGGUGUUGGAUCGACAUCACAGAAUUGCUGCAAAGUGAGUAGUGAGCUUGUGUGUGAACUGCAAAAACGGCUUACAUCAAGUUACAUAGGGACUAGAAUGUUACAUAUGAGCAGUUUCUAAUUAUGUUUAAUCGAAGAAAACAUGGAUAUAAGAUGAUCAAUAUAGUUAACAUGAUAUUCGAACAAGAGAAGUUUUUUUUUAAACACAUUAUAGACGCAGGCGGUAGUACAUACGCACAUACACUCGCUCAUAUAAAUAUGCACACAUGCACACCCUACCCCUAUGAGCACCUGAGAGACUGAGCCGGCACAUCAUCUUGAGUUUGACGCUAUCGUAGUUGACGGGACGUCUCGUCUCACUGAACGCACAUAGUCAGAUGACCUAAAAUAAAUUCAGAAAAAUGCGAGCACGUGUUAAGUCUAGGACUUGAACUCUGAUGGGCUGGGGAUACCACUAUUCUCAUAACCAUCCGACCACAAGUUGGUUCGCUCGAACAAGAGAAGUUGUUAAGCAAAAAAGACAUGCUAUUUGAUGUGUAUGGUAUACAUGGCAUGUCCAGAUCGAAUACUAAUAUAGUAAGGAACCGGAAGUAAUCGUUAAUGGAGGGGGAAAAUAAUGUAUGAUGUGGCAGAUGAAGAAGCGUUAGCAGUCAGCGCACCGCGAAUGGUGGAAAUGGCGUGGAGGGAUGGGGAGUCGUCGUCGGGGAAGUAGUCUUCGUUGUAUGCCUCAAUGUCGGUAGAGCUCUCCCUAAAAAUCCUGAUCUCCUCUCUCUCAUACAUGAUCACAAUAGAAGGUUCCGAAGUCCUAUUGUUCCACGUCAUGGUGCAUGAGGAAAAGUGGAAUGGGAAAGACGUAAGGGGCGCAAAGAUCUUGAACUGAAGGAUGUUCUCAUGCACGUUUCUAUGUAACCCCAUCUAUGGAUAGAGGAGCAAUCUCUAAUAGACUAACAACCGAAACCGGUCCACUAUGGAAGAGUUGGAGAUGAAGAGUCUACAAAUGUUCAGUUUAAUCCUUCUACUAGUGCAUAAUGUUUCGAAUCCUGUCACGCACGACAAGAGGAGUGACACACAUGUGACAUAGGUCAUAGUUCAGCUCGUUCACGAAACACAAAGCGCGUCAGGCGAGGUGAUGUCAUGCAAAUGCAUAGAGUUUAGUUGUAGCUGUUUUUGAAGUAAGAGUAUUGAUCGAUCCCACAAGAGCUGAGAAAAUGGUCUUUUGCCCCUUAUAGAGGUUUAUCCGAAUUUGCCUGCAAAUUAUUUUACGUCCCAAGCAAAAGCGGUGUGAAAGGUGAAAUAUUGCAAGAGUGUGUGUAUGUGUGAAAGCGAGAAUUAAAGUGCACACAAACAAUGACUAAGAAUAAGAGAGUAAUGAUAAUGAUGAAAACUCCAAUAGGGCCAAAAGGCAUUCUCAUAUAGUCUGUAUGUACCACAUGUAUUUAUUAUACUUAAUUGUGUAGAAACACAACCUUUGGUUCAAAUACUUGAUCCAUGUUAUAUAUGUAUUGCGCGGGGAGAGCCAAUAAAAGCUAUUGGCAUAUUACCGAUGUUCUAUAUCACGCACGUCAUCACCAUCCCUCCAAUGCAUAUCGGCAGAGUACGAUGGUGAUUAAGGGUCUCUCCGGGGAUGCGGAUUAAAACACUUGAGUAUUUGUUGUUUCCUUGCCAAUGAUUUGGUAAGGAGAGAGAUAGCUUCUAUCACUGUUGUACCUCUAACCCCUCAUCACAAAGAUAUAAUAUCCAUCAAAUCCUGAUGGGCUAAAUAUUGUGCAGUCGAUGUUGGCACAAUAUCAUGAAGAACAUUAACACAAUUAUAUAACAAAGAUUGCAUAUAUUAUUGUCAUUAGGAUCAUAUAAAUACUAGGGUUCCCCAUAUCCACAAGAAUUGGUAAAUUACUCAGGCAUAGAGGCACGAGACAUCGUCGAGGUGUCCAUGGCAAUGGAAGAUGAAUUAUUAAUGUAACACACGUAUAAAUCUAGACUAGGGUUUGGGAAUACAACAAGAUGAAUGAGGGAUAGUCAAUUUUGAGUAUGUGGAUGAUAUUGCUAAUGAUGAUGGCUGAUGUCAUGGCCUCGGUGGUCGAAGCUUUGGCGAGGUGGUGCCCUUCUACUAAUUCGCACUUCGGAUCCCUUCUGGGGAUGAGGUUUUCUACUUCUAUUUCAUGGUCUGUGAUAUCUCUGUUAGGCACGUCUGAGAUCCCAUUGCACGGGGUGGAAGUUGUCCACCGGGUGGAGGUGGCGCCGUGCGGUAUGAACAGUCGCGCUCGUAUUGUGCGUCGUCUUCUCUCCUAGAUAGCUGGUCGUGGCUAGUUUUCCUCCCACAUUCUCGUCUCUUCGUAUAGAAGUCUUUAUGACGUCUAAUCAGCAUAUUAUUCACACCAAAAAUAGAUGUUUUACAUUUAGUGGUCAAUAUCCUGGGAUCUUGAUGACAUCAAGCGAAAGGGAAAGCAACUGUGAUAAAGUGCAAAAAAUUAUGUGGUUAUUGAGGCCAAGUUCUCGCCCCAAGUGCGGUUGAGCCUCGCCCUUGAUCUAGCGUGUAAUGGUGGAUGACUGCUUCAACGAUGCUAGUGGUGUUUCUUUUCUACUCCCUCCGUUCCUAAAUAUUUGUCUUUCUAGAGAUUUUGACAAGUGACUACAUACGGAGCAAAAUGAGUGAAUCUACACUAAAAUAUGUCUAUAUACAUCAGUAUGUGGUAGUCCAUUUGAAAUCUUCAGAAAGACAAAUAUUUAGAAACGAGGGGAGUAUGAGAGUGCUGGUUAUGUCGUGACCUGUUAGCUAUGUGUAAGCACUGUGUAUCUGCCAUUUUAUUUUCUUGCUUGUUGUAAGUGUGGUCGAUGUAAUUGCUGACUGAUUAAUGGCUCCAGACUUUUCUUAAACCUUCAUUAAAAGAAGAGUAAAUUUGACAAAGAGAGAAUGUCGGACAAGUACUUAGUAGCAAAUUUGAAGGACAUGAUUGGAUGACGUCCGCCCGGCCGGAUGUCCGCGGACAUUUGGUGGCGUCCAUUUGGUGAUAGCCGGGAAAAAAGAGUGUACUCCCUCCGUCUAGAUGAGCAAGUCAUCUUAGAUUGUGCACCGUGACCAAGGAGGAGGAGAAAACGAGAGAACUUAAUGUUCAUUUGUUAAUUAAUAGCAUUGCAUGCAAUGAACUAAUCACUGCAUGUCGUGUUUGGUAAUCUCAAGUCAUUAAAAGCAUGCACACCCCACAUCUCUUAUUGGUUGAUAUGUCAAGAAACAAGAAACAAGGUAGAAUUUAAUGCACCGCGCCUAACUGUUUUGGGAUUAUUUGGUUUCGUAAGAUGACUUACACACCUAGACGGAGGGAGUACUUGGUUCAUUCAGAUAUAUAGCGACUUCCCAUUACAAAAAAUCACACCGAUAUUACAAACCUUGUAAAAAAACUGACCAUCACCCGUACAUUUGCCUGACACACAUACUUAUCCCUCACAACUCUUAUUCUGAAUGAUAGAAGAUCAAGCUAACCCCUGACAUAAAUAGCAACGUCGCUCACUGACAGCAACAAGCCAUGAAAUUUCACUGCUAGGCCGGAUGGUGGUAGAUCGGAGUCACUAGUGGUGUCCAUGGUAUCCACCACCGCCGCCGCCGCCGCCGUAGGUGGGCGUGGGAGGGACGGGGUGGUAGUCCGGGUGGGGCUGCGGCUUGGGCACGGGGUGAUAGUCAGGAUGGGGCUGGGGCUUGGGCUCCGGCUUGGGCGGCACGGGCUGCUUGUGGUGGAAAUGCUCGAUGAUGUGCUUCUUGAUCGGCCCGCACAAGGUCAUGGACGCGCACUC